RNAcentral lists this ribosomal RNA (497 nucleotides) under uncultured bacterium. RNAcentral describes it as "partial 16S ribosomal RNA". It matches the Rfam family "Bacterial small subunit ribosomal RNA", at positions 28 to 507 of the family's 1533-position model. The record is from RNAcentral.
GAUGAACGCUGGCGGCGUGCCUAAUACAUGCAAGUCGAGCGAACAGACGAGGAGCUUGCUCCUCUGACGUUAGCGGCGGACGGGUGAGUAACACGUGGAUAACCUACCUAUAAGACUGGGAUAACUUCGGGAAACCGGAGCUAAUACCGGAUAAUAUAUUGAACCGCAUGGUUCAAUAGUGAAAGACGGUUUUGCUGUCACUUAUAGAUGGAUCCGCGCCGCAUUAGCUAGUUGGUAAGGUAACGGCUUACCAAGGCAACGAUGCGUAGCCGACCUGAGAGGGUGAUCGGCCACACUGGAACUGAGACACGGUCCAGACUCCUACGGGAGGCAGCAGUAGGGAAUCUUCCGCAAUGAGCGAAAGCCUGACGGAGCAACGCCGCGUGAGUGAUGAAGGUCUUCGGAUCGUAAAACUCUGUUAUUAGGGAAGAACAAAUGUGUAAGUAACUAUGCACGUCUUGACGGUACCUAAUCAGAAAGCCACGGCUAACUACGUG